CCCUAUGGGGUGCAGCAGGAACCAAAAGCCUUACUGAAGCCAGGGCAGAACUGGUAAAAAUGACUGAAAUAAAAGAAAAGACAGAGGAAGAACAGAAAGUGCUUUUGCAGGAAAAGGCAGUUUUGGGGCAGGAAACUAGGAAACUUGAAUCCUCUGUGGCCUCUCUUAAAGAUGAGGCUGAACGCCUCAAAUCAGAUAUACAGCGUCUGAGAGAGGGAAGGAUAGCUGCUUUGACCGGAGAAAAACUGGCACAGGGCGUGAUAGCCGGACCGGAAGUUACUUCCCAUCAGGUAGAUCAGGCUCUGGAAAGGCUGAUAGAAGAAACGCAGGCACUGCUGGCUUACCGUUUUGGGAUAAAACCUGAGUCAAUAAAAAAACCGAUAGUUGAUAAAAGUUCUGUGGACAAGGCAAAGUCCGUCCUCUUAAAGAACCCCGGACGUUGGCUGCUCAGGCUGAGGGCACUCUCUAAUGAAUGGGCGGGAGGGC
RNAcentral lists this ribosomal RNA (486 nucleotides) under uncultured prokaryote. RNAcentral describes it as "partial 16S ribosomal RNA". The record is from RNAcentral.